UCUUCUUCCAUCCUCAGGACCUUGUCCUUCAGCCGGCUGCGCUCAUUGUCCAGGUCCCUGAUGGCCGCUUCCUGGGUCAUCUGAGUGGCCUGCAGGCUGCUGAUCUGACCUAUCACAGGACAGAAGAAUGCGUUGGCCUUCGUUGCUCUCCUGUCAGUGUGUGGCUACACUCAAACAAGAAACAGAAGAACAAGAACAACUCAGGAGAAGCUCCAGGUCAGGUGGUGAAUUACUGGCUCGGGGGAAUUUGACCUCCUGGCUGCCAAGCUGCCUUUAAAAACAGGAAACACAAUAAACAGACCCCAGCAGUUUGAGCAGGAAGUCAUGGAUCGAGGUCCAGGACAAACCUCAUACGCUGCAGCAUGAAUGUAGCGUAUCAGCAGCAAAGACCUCCUGGCACCAGACUUCAUGACUUCACGCUGAUGAAACAGCUCCCUGAGGUACAGUACUGUACUGUAGGUGCGACGUGCUGCAUUUUCAUUUUUACUAUAGUGACUGUUUAUUAUUAUUCGUGACUAAACUAAAUGUAGUGCUUCGGGUUUAGUUUGAAUUUGAACAGGACACACCAGCAAAAAGGACCUGAGGGAGUCCUGAUCACUACAAUGCUGCCGCACAACAAAGUCAAACGCCCAGACGUGAGCGCAGCGUUGACGCCGACAGACAGAGCCUCUCCAGCCUCACAGCGGGACGAAGACACACGCAUUAGGUCUGAUUAGCUGCAGCUGUGACGGCAGCGCCCCGUCGCGCACAUCUGCCUGUCACUGCGGGCACAACGCACAGCGGCGUCUACCUGGGCC
Molecule: long non-coding RNA, 797 nt
Organism: Betta splendens (Siamese fighting fish)
Lineage: Eukaryota; Metazoa; Chordata; Actinopteri; Anabantiformes; Osphronemidae
Exons: 3
Source: RefSeq, a predicted model, not a curated record